CUACGGGUGGCAGCAGUGGGGAAUAUUUGACAAUGGGCGAAAGCCUGAUCCAGCCAUGCCGCGUGUGUGAAGAAGGCGUUCGGGUUGUAAAGCACUUUCAGUGGGGAAGAAAGCCUUGGGGCUAAUACCCUCGAGGAAGGACAUCACCCACAGAAGAAGCACCGGCUAACUCCGUGCCAGCAGCCGCGGUAAUACGGAGGGUGCGAGCGUUAAUCGGAAUUACUGGGCGUAAAGCGCGCGUAGGCGGUCUGAUAAGCCGGUUGUGAAAGCCCCGGGCUCAACCUGGGAACGGCAUCCGGAACUGUCAGGCUAGAGUGCAGGAGAGGAAGGUAGAAUUCCCGGUGUAGCGGUGAAAUGCGUAGAGAUCGGGAGGAAUACCAGUGGCGAAGGCGGCCUUCUGGACUGACACUGACGCUGAGGUGCGAAAGCGUGGGUAGCAAACAGGAUUAGAUACCCUGGUAGUC
Molecule: ribosomal RNA, 464 nt
Filed under: Vreelandella stevensii
Lineage: Bacteria; Pseudomonadati; Pseudomonadota; Gammaproteobacteria; Oceanospirillales; Halomonadaceae
Description: partial 16S ribosomal RNA
Rfam family: Bacterial small subunit ribosomal RNA
Source: RNAcentral